Molecule: ribosomal RNA, 438 nt
Filed under: Zygantroides serpulidicola
Lineage: Eukaryota; Metazoa; Platyhelminthes; Polycladida; Ilyplanidae
Description: partial 16S ribosomal RNA
Rfam family: Bacterial large subunit ribosomal RNA
Source: RNAcentral
UUCCUUAAGAAGAUAUUUAAGGUAUAGCCUGCUCCAUGUCUUAUAUAAAUCGCUGCGGUAUCUUAACUGCACUUAGGUAGCAUAAUUAAUUGUCUUUUAAAUGGUGACUUGUUUGAAUGGUUGAAUGAGAGAAAAAUUUUUUUUAAAUUAAUAUGAAAUUAUAUUCUUUGGUUAAAAUACCUAGAUAUAAGAGAAAGACGAGAAGACCCUGUUGAGUUUUACAAUUUAUUUGUUAAAUGGGAAAUUUGCCCCCUUUUUGGGGGCUGUUAGAUCCUUGAUUAAUAUAUUUGGAAAAAGGACAAAAUUACCACAGGGAUAACAGGAUAAUAUUGGUUGAGAGUUCAUAUCGAAACUAAUGAUUAUUACCUCGAUGUUGAAUCGGAAUGUCUUAUUGGUGUAGCAGUUAAAUAAGAGGGUCUGUUCGACCUUUAAAAUUUC